GCAAAUGUUGUUCGGAAUCACUGGGCGUAAAGGGAGCGUAGGCGGGUUCUUAAGUAAGGUGUUUAAUCCCGGGGCCCAACCCCGGACCGGCACUUUAAACUGGGAAUCUUGAAUAGUGGAGAGGUCGGUGGAAUUGGGGGUGUAGCGGUGGAAUGCGUAGAGAUCCCCAAGAACACCAGUUGCGAAGGCGGCCGACUGGACACAUAUUGACGCUGAGGCUCGAAAGCAUGGGGAGCAAACAGG
This 243-nucleotide ribosomal RNA is filed under the name uncultured bacterium. RNAcentral's name for it is "partial 16S ribosomal RNA". It matches the Rfam family "Bacterial small subunit ribosomal RNA", at positions 534 to 776 of the family's 1533-position model. The record is from RNAcentral.